Molecule: ribosomal RNA, 433 nt
Filed under: uncultured bacterium
Lineage: Bacteria
Description: partial 16S ribosomal RNA
Rfam family: Bacterial small subunit ribosomal RNA
Source: RNAcentral
AGCGAACGCUGGCGGCAGGCCUAACACAUGCAAGUCGAACGAACUCUUCGGAGUUAGUGGCGGACGGGUGAGUAACACGUGGGAACGUGCCUUUUGGUUCGGAAUAACUCAGGGAAACUUGUGCUAAUACCGAAUGUGCCCUUCGGGGGAAAGAUUUAUCGCCAUUAGAGCGGCCCGCGUCUGAUUAGCUAGUUGGUGAGGUAACGGCUCACCAAGGCGACGAUCAGUAGCUGGCCUGAGAGGAUGACCAGCCACACUGGGACUGAGACACGGCCCAGACUCCUACGGGAGGCAGCAGUGGGGAAUCUUGCGCAAUGGGCGAAAGCCUGACGCAGCCAUGCCGCGUGAAUGAUGAAGGUCUUAGGAUUGUAAAAUUCUUUCACCGGGGACGAUAAUGACGGUACCCGGAGAAGAAGCCCCGGCUAACUUCGUA